CAAAGUGUUCGGGGGACGGGUGGCCAGUACGGCCGAGGGAGGGAGGGAGUGGUGAGGGCGGCUGGGGCCUGGGCAUGCAUGGCCUAUCGUCCCAGUUUGCGGAGUUUGGACUCUACUCCAAAAGCGGCAGGAAGCCAGCGAUAUGCUUUUAACUGGGGAGUAACAUAGCGGUCUGUGUGUGCACGUGUGUGCCUGCCUCUGUGCACGUGUGCCUGCUCUGGCUACAUCUGGGGAGUGAAUGGGAGGAGGCCGUAGUGGAAAACAUAGUCCCCCCCCCCCCCCCCCCCCCGCCGCCGCCACAGGCUAGUGUCCCAGUCCAGGUGAAAAUAGAGCCCCCAGCUACAGAUAGGCAGGUUGCUCAUUGUUCAAGAGCAUCCGGGCAAGGAGGACUCAUCGGAACAGAAAUAGAGCCCUACUCCACUCACCAAGCCGUGAGCCCGGACACAGACCUGAGUCUGGCCAAAGGUGAAGGGGGAGCUUUUUCUUAUUUGCUCAAAGGCGGCACUGCCCACUGGACUGUCCAUAUCCAGUGGACUGCUGUCUGUAUGAAAGGGGUAUCUUCCUUGUUCUGUGUUCACUAAGGAGCCACGUGGGCUAACAGAGGCCCUACAAGAGUGAGUGGUGGCUUGGAACAGAGUGCGGCGAUCCAGAUGGUAAGAACCCACCUGUAGUGCAUUUUGUGGACAGAAAUAUCAGGAGUUUGUAAUGACCCAAAUGGGAAUGAGGACGAGGAAGGGGUCAGAGAUGACAGCCACAUUUCUGGCAAGAACCUCUGGGGGAUGCAGGAGAGACAGACUUGGUGCCCCUAGUGGUACCAUCCUGAAUGAAGCCUUCUGGUCAGAAACCAGAGGCUGGCAGCUAGGGCCCAGGCCUAGUGGAUGGAGACUGCUGACAGGUCUUUGGCACCCAGCAAGGUCACAAGGGUAAAGUUUAACAUGAAAUCUGAGGGGUGAGCCAUGGGUAUUUGCUACAUUGGUUUCAUACAUUUUAAUAUUUAAACAUUUCAGUGUUAAGCAGAAUUUGAACUAGGAAUCCAAAGGGGCUCCAAAGUACAGUUGAGUUUUCCCAGCAAGUCUACUAUUAACCAGUCAAAAACCUAACAGUCAAGCUGAGGGACCAGAGGUCUGUGAUCUGUCCCCAUGCUCUCCUUCCUUGUAUUCUCACUGGGUUCUGUGGCCUCCUCAAAACCCAGUGGGUUGGUCUCCAGGUUUUUCAUCUUUCCUCACAGCCAUGAACAAUGAUAAUGUGAGGAUAUAUUGACAUUAAAAAAAAAGACUAUAAAACAGUAGGUUUUAACUCAUUUUUGGAAAACCAUAACUUGAAACUAAUGUAUAGAUGCAAGCAUGCAAAGAGAAAAGUCUGAGUGAUCAUACCAAAUGAUGGCAGCAUCUGGAUGGAGGACUUAUGGGUCAUUCUCUGUGCAAAUGAUGGAACCUCAGGUGUGGUGAGACUCCAGGCUCUGGCCUUCAGAUGGUGAAACAGAGGCAUGGGAAUCUACCUGGCUCUGCCUCAGCUGGAUCUGAGAAUCUAAAGGCACUUAGCUAAGAUCAUGAACUCCCAAAGGAACUGCCAUACUGCUGUCCAAAGUGGCUGAACUGUUCUACUUUUCCACCAGCAACGAGUCCUAUUUUAUUCUCCUGUCUGCCUCAGCACUACUGGCUGGUACAUAAAGAGAAAUCAGAUGCCUGGCACUGUGAGGAAUCUCUUUUCCUAGGCUCUGUUUGAUAUUCAUGACAAUCUAAGAACUAAGGGCUCCCCGUAACCCAGUGUCAGACCAAUGCCAUGAACUUCUACUGAGAACUCAUUAUUUAGAGAAGAUGAGUGGAAGAAAAUCGUGGCAAGUCCUUUCAAGGGGAAAGAAGUAGUCUCCUGCGGGUCACCUACUUGGCCAAACCUAAGCAGAAGCCAAGGAGAAGAGUCCUCUUGCUGCCAUAUAGGUCCGCCUCCCAGAACAGGGGUAUUGGAAGGAUUGAUCUACAGGGGAACAUGGAAGGUUAGUUGCAGAAAGGACUAUAAAAACAUCACUAACAGGCAAAUUUGAUGAAUACAAACUUCAUUCUGAGACCAACCAGACUAGGUUAUGCUUAUAUUGUGAUGUGAGUGCAGAGUGGUUGCCAUUAGUAAACCAGAGCAGGGAAGUGGCUGCAGUAGGUAGGGCAGAAGGGCACCUUUCUGCUCUGAAAGUUCUCUAAUGAGUACAACUGCUCAUCCCCAAGAAUUCUACUUUAGAGAAACUAUCCAAAAGAAAAACAUGUACAAAGAUUUAUUGCAAAAGUGAAACAUUGAAAGCAGUAUAAUGUGUAAGAAGAGACUAGGUAUGUUACAUGUACCUUGUCAAUACAAAGAAAGUGAGUGACGGCAUGGGGCAUGGGAGGAGCCAUGCCACAGAGGUGUUCAGAGCAUGGGGCCUGGGGUUAUUGGGAUCAGACUAUUAGUCCCAGGCAGCUGAAACGCUCUGUCAGGGAAAGAGAUGCCUUUGUAAUGGAGACGUCUGGGGAAGGCACCGCCUUAACCAAGGGAUCAAACUUUUAUCACUAAUGAUGGGGCCAACGGACAUUGCGUGGUGACACGCAAUGGCAAGGACCCAAGAUUACUUCCAAAAAUAUUUAAGCUGAUGUAAAUCAUGAACAAAUCCAGAUAGUGUGGAAUUCUGAAAGGUGCUCUUCAAAAAAUGUCAACAUUACUCUUAAAAGGUUUGCUGUAGAUGAAAGGAGAUAUAACAACUAAACACUGUAUGCUGGAGUGCCAGGUCUGUAACUUACAUUCAGAUCAUUCAGCAAGUGUGUGUGUGUGUGUUUUGUACACACCUGAGCACAGACAGGCAGAUAGGAG
Molecule: long non-coding RNA, 2832 nt
Organism: Lutra lutra (Eurasian river otter)
Lineage: Eukaryota; Metazoa; Chordata; Mammalia; Carnivora; Mustelidae
Exons: 4
Source: RefSeq, a predicted model, not a curated record